AGCGAACGCUGGCGGCAGGCCUAACACAUGCAAGUCGAACGGACCCUUCGGGGUUAGUGGCGGACGGGUGAGUAACACGUGGGAACGUGCCUUUAGGUUCGGAAUAGCUCCUGGAAACGGGUGGUAAUGCCGAAUGUGCCCUUCGGGGGAAAGAUUUAUCGCCUUAGGAGCGGCCCGCGCCGGAUUAGCUAGUUGGUGGGGUAACGGCUUACCAAGGCUUCGAUCCGUAGCUGGUCUGAGAGGACGAUCAGCCACACUGGGACUGAGACACGGCCCAGACUCCUACGGGAGGCAGCAGUGGGGAAUCUUGCGCAAUGGGGGCAACCUUGACGCAGCCAUGCCGCGUGAAUGAUGAAGGCCUUAGGGUUGUAAAGUUCUUUUGCCCGUGACGAUGAUGACGGUAACGGGAGAAUAAGCUCCGGCUAACUUCGUGCCAGCAGCCGCCGUAA
Molecule: ribosomal RNA, 449 nt
Filed under: uncultured bacterium
Lineage: Bacteria
Description: partial 16S ribosomal RNA
Rfam family: Bacterial small subunit ribosomal RNA
Source: RNAcentral